This 470-nucleotide ribosomal RNA is filed under the name uncultured bacterium. RNAcentral's name for it is "bacterial SSU rRNA". It matches the Rfam family "Bacterial small subunit ribosomal RNA", at positions 29 to 506 of the family's 1533-position model. The record is from RNAcentral.
AUGAACGCUGGCGGCGUGCCUAAGAUAUGCAAGUCGAGCGGUAAGGUUCUCACUCCGUACUUAAAGUUUUGAGUAUGGUGUGAGAAUACACGAGCGGCGGACGGCUGAGUAACGCGUAGGAAUGUACCCCAAAGUGAGGAAUAAGCACCGGAAACGGUGUCUAAUGCCGCAUGAUCUCUUCGGAGGAAAGCCUUCGGGCGCUAUGGGAGCGGCCUGCGUACGAUUAGCUUGUUGGUGAGGUAAAGGCUCACCAAGGCGAUGAUCGUUAGCUGGUCUGAGAGGAUGACCAGCCAGACUGGAACUGAGAACGGUCCAGACCCCUACGGGGGGCAGCAAUUAGGAAUCUUUCACAAUGGGGGCAACCCUGAUGGAGCAACGCCGCGUGCAGGAGGAAGGCCUUCGGGUUGUAAACUGCUUUUAUCUGUGAAGAUUAUGACGGUAGCAGAUGAAUAAGGACCGGCUAACUCCGU